This 316-nucleotide unclassified non-coding RNA is filed under the name Melitaea cinxia (Glanville fritillary). RNAcentral describes it as "misc RNA ENSMCXG00005008866.1". The record is from RNAcentral. Lineage: Eukaryota; Metazoa; Arthropoda; Insecta; Lepidoptera; Nymphalidae.
ACGUGCCCCACGGUUUUAUUUUAGUCUAGUCUAUGCAUAUGUUUAUAAUUCCCACGACUGUAUCUAUUUUAUUAUUUUUUGGUUUUUAGUACAUUUAUCUUAAACAUUGCAAUGUAUGUUUAACAUAAAACCGUUUAACUUAAAAAAGUUUUUUUACCUAUUUUUAUUUUGAAGCGGAUUUAAAUUGAAUUAUGAUUUAUGUCUUUUUUUUUUUUUUUUUAUUUGUUUUUUUUUUUUUUUUUUUUUUUUUUUUUUUUUUUUUUUUUUUUUUUUUUUUUUUUUUUUUUUUUUUUUUUUUUUCUCUAGACCCCCACAC